UACGUAGGGUGCGAGCGUUGUCCGGAAUUAUUGGGCGUAAAGAGCUCGUAGGCGGUGUGUCGCGUCGGCCGUGAAAACCUGGGGCUCAACUCUGGGCGUGCGGUCGAUACGGGCAUCACUUGAGUUCGGCAGGGGAGACUGGAAUUCCUGGUGUAGCGGUGAAAUGCGCAGAUAUCAGGAGGAACACCGGUGGCGAAGGCGGGUCUCUGGGCAGUAACUGACGCUGAGGAGCGAAAGCGUGGGGAGCGAACAGG
RNAcentral lists this ribosomal RNA (254 nucleotides) under uncultured bacterium. RNAcentral's name for it is "partial 16S ribosomal RNA". It matches the Rfam family "Bacterial small subunit ribosomal RNA", at positions 524 to 776 of the family's 1533-position model. The record is from RNAcentral.